This is a long non-coding RNA of Equus quagga, 576 nucleotides long. RefSeq lists it as uncharacterized. NCBI's taxonomy places the organism in Eukaryota, Metazoa, Chordata, Mammalia, Perissodactyla, Equidae. The transcript is spliced from 3 exons. The record is from RefSeq and is a predicted model, not a curated record.
GGCCCUGGUGCAGGUGGGCUCCUCGCAGGCGCGGCGCGAGCCCAGGUGCCCCGGGCAGUGUCCCCGGUGCAGGCGUGGAGUUGUCUCGCCGGCCGCAAGGCCUCGGUUCUCCCCGGGGGUGUUGGGCUCUUCGGGAGUCGGGAGAGGGAUCUUCGAUGUUCCUGAAUAAUCUGCAGUCAAAGGAAGAGAAGGAGGGAGGAGAUGCAGGGAGCAGGCUCCUGGCCUCCUCAGUGUUCCAGUCCCAGUUUCCAGACUGUUCCUCAGCUUCCUUCAUCCCUGCCCGUAGGCUCUCUGGACCUGGAUAGAAACCUGAGCCAGAAGCAAGCCUGUAUGGUUAGAUCGGCUGUGAGGAAGGUCGGCCUUCUGCAGUGGCGGGAAGCUCUCCUCAACGGGAUCCUCCAUUCUGCUGAUGAAAUCAACCCAGUCAGUUCCCCUCUCUGAGAAUAUGAGUGCACAGCGUGCACUGAGAGGGUGGUCCUUCAAGCUCAACUGGCAACCCCACCAGGAUAAACUACCCUUCAUGAGGUCUGUUAUUCAUCCUCACUGUCGAAAUACUGGGACCCACAUCUAAUAGUC